This 112-nucleotide ribosomal RNA is filed under the name uncultured eukaryote. RNAcentral describes it as "partial small subunit ribosomal RNA". It matches the Rfam family "Eukaryotic small subunit ribosomal RNA", at positions 1676 to 1785 of the family's 1831-position model. The record is from RNAcentral.
UCGCUACUACCGAUUGAAUGUUCCGGUGAGCACUUUGGAAUCGUGAUCUUUCUGGGGCAACUCAUGAGAUCAAUGGUGAAGAUGUGCAAACCUUAAUAUUUAGAGGAAGUAA